This 111-nucleotide non-coding RNA is filed under the name Vitis vinifera (wine grape). RNAcentral describes it as "Bacterial small subunit ribosomal RNA". It matches the Rfam family "Bacterial small subunit ribosomal RNA", at positions 755 to 869 of the family's 1533-position model. The record is from Rfam by way of RNAcentral. Lineage: Eukaryota; Viridiplantae; Streptophyta; Magnoliopsida; Vitales; Vitaceae.
GAAAGCUAGGGGAGCGAAUGGGAUUAGAUACCCCAGUAGUCCUAGCCGUAAACGAUGGAUACUAGGCAUUAUGCGUAUCGACCCGUGCGAAAUCAAGAAGAAAAAGAAUCU